UACGUAGGUUGCAAGCGUUGUCCGGAUUUACUGGGUGUAAAGGGCGUGUAGGCGGAGCUGCAAGUCAGAUGUGAAAUCCCGGGGCUCAACCCCGGAACUGCAUUUGAAACUGUAGCCCUUGAGUAUUGGAGAGGCAAGCGGAAUUCCUAGUGUAGCGGUGAAAUGCGUAGAUAUUAGGAGGAACACCAGUGGCGAAGGCGGCUUGCUGGACGACAACUGACGCUGAGGCGCGAAAGCGUGGGGAGCAAACAGG
RNAcentral lists this ribosomal RNA (253 nucleotides) under uncultured bacterium. RNAcentral describes it as "partial 16S ribosomal RNA". It matches the Rfam family "Bacterial small subunit ribosomal RNA", at positions 524 to 776 of the family's 1533-position model. The record is from RNAcentral.